AUACGUAGGUGGCAAGCGUUGUCCGGAUUUAUUGGGCGUAAAGCGAGCGCAGGCGGUCUUUUAAGUCUGAUGUGAAAGCCUUCGGCUCAACCGAAGAAGUGCAUCGGAAACUGGGAGACUUGAGUGCAGAAGAGGAGAGUGGAACUCCAUGUGUAGCGGUGAAAUGCGUAGAUAUAUGGAAGAACACCAGUGGCGAAGGCGGCUCUCUGGUCUGUAACUGACGCUGAGGCUCGAAAGCGUGGGUAGCAAACAGGAUUAGAUACCCUGGUAGUCCACGCCGUAAACGAUGAAUGCUAAGUGUUGGAGGGUUUCCGCCCUUCAGUGCUGCAGCUAACGCAUUAAGCAUUCCGCCUGGGGAGUACGACCGCAAGGUUGAA
Molecule: ribosomal RNA, 377 nt
Filed under: uncultured Lactobacillus sp.
Lineage: Bacteria; Bacillati; Bacillota; Bacilli; Lactobacillales; Lactobacillaceae
Description: bacterial SSU rRNA
Rfam family: Bacterial small subunit ribosomal RNA
Source: RNAcentral